UAACAUGCAAGUCGAGGGGUAACAGGGAAAAGCUUGCUUUUCCGCUGACGACCGGCGCACGGGUGCGUAACACGUAUGCAACCUACCUCUUACUGGGGGAUAGCCCAGAGAAAUUUGGAUUAAUACCCCAUAGUAUCACCAGUUCGCAUGUUCAGGUGAUUAAAGGUUACGGUAAGAGAUGGGCAUGCGCCCCAUUAGCUAGUUGGUGAGGUAACGGCUCACCAAGGCUACGAUGGGUAGGGGGUCUGAGAGGACUAUCCCCCACACUGGUACUGAGACACGGACCAGACUCCUACGGGAGGCAGCAGUGAGGAAUAUUGCGCAAUGGACGAAAGUCUGACGCAGCCAUGCCGCGUGCAGGAUGACGGCGCUAUGCGUUGUAAACUGCUUUUAUAUGCCAAGAAACCUUCGGACGUGUCCGAAGCUGACGGUAGCAUAUGAAUAAGCACCGGCUAACUCCGUGCCAGCAGCCGCGGUAAUACGGAGGGUGCAAGCGUUAUCCGGAUUUAUUGGGUUUAAAGGGUCCGUAGGCGGAUCAUUAAGUCAGUGGUGAAAGC
Molecule: ribosomal RNA, 557 nt
Filed under: uncultured bacterium
Lineage: Bacteria
Description: bacterial SSU rRNA
Rfam family: Bacterial small subunit ribosomal RNA
Source: RNAcentral